RNAcentral lists this ribosomal RNA (301 nucleotides) under uncultured bacterium. Its description in RNAcentral is "partial 16S ribosomal RNA". It matches the Rfam family "Bacterial small subunit ribosomal RNA", at positions 509 to 807 of the family's 1533-position model. The record is from RNAcentral.
CAGUCGCCGCGGGAAUACGUAGGUGGCAAGCGUUGUCCGGAAUUAUUGGGCGUAAAGGGCUCGCAGGCGGUUUCUUAAGUCUGAUGUGAAAGCCCCCGGCUCAACCGGGGAGGGUCAUUGGAAACUGGGAAACUUGAGCGCAGAAGAGGAGAGUGGAAUUCCACGUGUAGCGGUGGAAUGCGUAGAGAUGUGGAGGAACACCAGUGGCGAAGGCGACUCUCUGGUCUGUAACUGACGCAGAGGAGCGAAAGCGUGGGGAGCGAACAGGAUUAGAUACCCGCGUAGUCCCUGUCUCUUAUAC